UGGGGAAUAUUGGGCAAUGGGCGAAAGCCUGACCCAGCAACGCCGCGUGAGGGAAGAAGGUUUUCGGAUUGUAAACCUCUGUCCUAAGGGAAGAAGGAAGUGACGGUACCUUAGGAGGAAGCCCCGGCUAACUACGUGCCAGCAGCCGCGGUAAUACGUAGGGGGCGAGCGUUGUCCGGAAUGACUGGGCGUAAAGGGCGUGUAGGCGGCCUGUUAAGUUAGAAGUGAAAGUCCUGCUUUCAAGGUGGGAAUUGCUUUUAAUACUGAUGGGCUUGAGUGCAGAAGAGGUAAGUGGAAUUCCCAGUGUAGCGGUGAAAUGCGUAGAGAUUGGGAGGAACACCAGUGGCGAAGGCGACUUACUGGGCUGUAACUGACGCUGAGGCGCGAAAGCGUGGGGAGCGAACAGG
Molecule: ribosomal RNA, 407 nt
Filed under: uncultured bacterium
Lineage: Bacteria
Description: bacterial SSU rRNA
Rfam family: Bacterial small subunit ribosomal RNA
Source: RNAcentral